RNAcentral lists this ribosomal RNA (479 nucleotides) under uncultured beta proteobacterium. Its description in RNAcentral is "bacterial SSU rRNA". It matches the Rfam family "Bacterial small subunit ribosomal RNA", at positions 267 to 737 of the family's 1533-position model. The record is from RNAcentral. Lineage: Bacteria; Pseudomonadati; Pseudomonadota; Betaproteobacteria.
ACCAUGGCGACGAUCCGUAGCGGGUCUGAGAGGACGACCCGCCACACUGGAACUGAGACACGGUCCAGACUCCUACGGGAGGCAGCAGUGGGGAAUUUUGGACAAUGGGCGCAAGCCUGAUCCAGCCAUACCGCGUGAGUGAAGAAGGCCUUCGGGUUGUAAAGCUCUUUCGGCAGGGAAGAAACGGUGUAAGUGAAUAACUUGCGCUAAUGACGGUACCUGAAGAAGAAGCACCGGCUAACUACGUGCCAGCAGCCGCGGUAAUACGUAGGGUGCGAGCGUUAAUCGGAAUUACUGGGCGUAAAGCGUGCGCAGGCGGUUUUUUAAGCCAGAUGUGAAAUUCCCCGGGCUCAACCUGGGAACUGCAUUUGGAACUGAAAGACUAGAGUGUAGCAGAGGGGGGUAGAAUUCCACGUGUAGCAGUGAAAUGCGUAGAGAUGUGGAGGAAUACCGAUGGCGAAGGCAGCCCCCUGUGCNCA